RNAcentral lists this long non-coding RNA (208 nucleotides) under Sorghum bicolor (sorghum). Its description in RNAcentral is "long non-coding RNA (SBIC_LNC017217)". Lineage: Eukaryota; Viridiplantae; Streptophyta; Magnoliopsida; Poales; Poaceae. The record is from RNAcentral.
UGUGUUUAUGAGGUCGGUUGGAUCUGGAUCCCCUAGCGGGCCGAGGCAUUGGAGGUGUGGUUGAUCGGUGGGGAUGACAAUUUUAUUAGCCGAUUCCUAAUGGUUUUGGAAGUAGAAAAUAAAAACACAAAGAAAAAGAAAGAAAAAUGUUCAGUGAGAUGGAUUGCGGAUGAACAGGGGUGAGAGGAAAAGUACAAGAGAUGGCGCG